RNAcentral lists this ribosomal RNA (460 nucleotides) under uncultured bacterium. RNAcentral's name for it is "partial 16S ribosomal RNA". It matches the Rfam family "Bacterial small subunit ribosomal RNA", at positions 338 to 795 of the family's 1533-position model. The record is from RNAcentral.
CCUACGGGAGGCAGCAGUGAGGAAUAUUGGUCAAUGAGCUUACGCCUGAACCAGCCAUGCCGCGUGCAGGAUGACGGCUCUAUGAGUUGUAAACUGCGUUUGUACGAGGGUAAACGCAGAUACGCGUAUCUGUCUGAAAGUAUCGUACGAAUAAGGAUCGGCUAACUCCGUGCCAGCAGCCGCGGUAAUACGGAGGAUUCAAGCGUUAUCCGGAUUUAUUGGGUUUAAAGGGUGCGUAGGCGGUCGGAUAAGUUAGAGGUGAAAUCCCGAGGCCUAACUUCGGAAUUGCCUCUGAUACUGUUCGGCUAGAGAGUAGUUGCGGUAGGCGGAAUGUAUGGUGUAGCGGUGAAAUGCUUAGAGAUCAUACAGAACACCGAUUGCGAAGGCAGCUUACCAAGCUACUUCUGACGUUGAGGGACGAAAGCGUGGGGAGCAAACAGGAUUAGAUACCCUAGUAGUC